This 482-nucleotide ribosomal RNA is filed under the name uncultured bacterium. RNAcentral describes it as "partial 16S ribosomal RNA". It matches the Rfam family "Bacterial small subunit ribosomal RNA", at positions 30 to 507 of the family's 1533-position model. The record is from RNAcentral.
AUUGAACGCCGGCGGCAUGCUUUACACAUGCAAGUCGAACGGUAACAGGCCGCAAGGUGCUGACGAGUGGCGAACGGGUGAGUAAUGCAUCGGAACGUGCCCAGUCGUGGGGGAUAACUACUCGAAAGAGUAGCUAAUACCGCAUACGAUCUAUGGAUGAGAGCGGGGGACCGUAAGGCCUCGCGCGAUUGGAGCGGCCGAUGUCAGAUUAGGUAGUUGGUGGGGUAAAGGCUCACCAAGCCAACGAUCUGUAGCUGGUCUGAGAGGACGACCAGCCACACUGGGACUGAGACACGGCCCAGACUCCUACGGGAGGCAGCAGUGGGGAAUUUUGGACAAUGGGCGCAAGCCUGAUCCAGCAAUGCCGCGUGCAGGAAGAAGGCCUUCGGGUUGUAAACUGCUUUUGUACGGAACGAAACGGCUCUGGUUAAUACCCGGGGCUAAUGACGGUACCGUAAGAAUAAGCACCGGCUAACUACGUG